GCGGCCACAGCGACUACUAAGAGGCGCCCGCCUCUGAGCCCGCUCUCGACCCCACGUCACGCCUUCUAGAACCCUCCACCCCGGGCCGCCCAGGGGCACGCCGGGAUUUGUUAUGUGUGGAGAGCGGCUACCGUGGGUUGCCGGGAGUUGCAGUUCCAGCGGACUACAGCUAACAUGGCUGCCUCGGCUUAGCGGGCUGGAGCUGAGGACCGCUCUGGCGAGCCUUGAAUGUGAAAGAUGCUCCUCAUUAAAUGCCUGAUUGCUCACGUCAUCCACCAAAUAUCCUCUUCUACCAAGUCUCAACAGAUGGUUCAGCUCGUCCUUAAUAAACAAAGGGCAAUCAAAUGAGAAAUGGACUUACAUUGUUAGGAGAAAAGAAAAAUGUCUCUUCUUCCUGUCUCUUACUGUUUGUUGCAGCUAACAUCAGAAGCCUACAAGCAUCUCUUCGAGUCCCUGCUGUUAAUUCUUAGGUAUAUUCUCAGAAGUGGAAUUGUUAGCUCUUACAGCGAUCCUGUUUUUAAU
This is a long non-coding RNA of Lutra lutra (Eurasian river otter), 522 nucleotides long. RefSeq lists it as uncharacterized. The transcript is spliced from 3 exons. The record is from RefSeq and is a predicted model, not a curated record. NCBI's taxonomy places the organism in Eukaryota, Metazoa, Chordata, Mammalia, Carnivora, Mustelidae.